GGGUUGUGAGGUUAAGCGACUAAGCGUACACGGUGGAUGCCCUGGCAGUCAGAGGCGAUGAAGGGCGUGCUAAUCUGCGAUAAGCGCCGGUAAGGUGAUAUGAACCGUUAUAACCGGCGAUACCCGAAUGGGGAAACCCAGUGUGACUCGUCACACUAUCAUUAACUGAAUCCAUAGGUUAAUGAGGCGAACCGGGGGAACUGAAACAUCUAAGUACCCCGAGGAAAAGAAAUCAACCGAGAUUCCCCCAGUAGCGGCGAGCGAACGGGGAGGAGCCCAGAGCCUGAAUCAGCAUGUGUGUUAGUGGAAGCGUCUGGAAAGGCGCGCGAUACAGGGUGACAGCCCCGUACACAAAAGCGCAUGUGUUGUGAGCUCGAUGAGUAGGGCGGGACACGUGGUAUCCUGUCUGAAUAUGGGGGGACCAUCCUCCAAGGCUAAAUACUCCUGACUGACCGAUAGUGAACCAGUACCGUGAGGGAAAGGCGAAAAGAACCCCGGCGAGGGGAGUGAAAAAGAACCUGAAACCGUGUACGUACAAGCAGUGGGAGCACAGGUUUACCUGUGUGACUGCGUACCUUUUGUAUAAUGGGUCAGCGACUUAUAUUCUGUAGCAAGGUUAACCGAAUAGGGGAGCCGGAGGGAAACCGAGUCUUAAUUGGGCGUUAAGUUGCAGGGUAUAGACCCGAAACCCGGUGAUCUAGCCAUGGGCAGGUUGAAGGUUGGGUAACACUAACUGGAGGACCGAACCGACUAAUGUUGAAAAAUUAGCGGAUGACCUGUGGCUGGGGGUGAAAGGCCAAUCAAACCGGGAGAUAGCUGGUUCUCCCCGAAAGCUAUUUAGGUAGCGCCUCGUGAAUUCAUCUCCGGGGGUAGAGCACUGUUUCGGCUAGGGGGCCAUCCCGGCUUACCAACCCGAUGCAAACUGCGAAUACCGGAGAAUGUUAUCACGGGAGACACACGGCGGGUGCUAACGUCCGUCGUGAAGAGGGAAACAACCCAGACCGCCAGCUAAGGUCCCAAAGUCAUGGUUAAGUGGGAAACGAUGUGGGAAGGCCCAGACAGCCAGGAUGUUGGCUUAGAAGCAGCCAUCAUUUAAAGAAAGCGUAAUAGCUCACUGGUCGAGUCGGCCUGCGCGGAAGAUGUAACGGGGCUAAACCAUGCACCGAAGCUGCGGCAGCGACACUCAGGUGUUGUUGGGUAGGGGAGCGUUCUGUAAGCCUGCGAAGGUGGCCUGUGAGGGUUGCUGGAGGUAUCAGAAGUGCGAAUGCUGACAUAAGUAACGAUAAAGCGGGUGAAAAGCCCGCUCGCCGGAAGACCAAGGGUUCCUGUCCAACGUUAAUCGGGGCAGG
This 1349-nucleotide ribosomal RNA is filed under the name Salmonella enterica subsp. enterica serovar Saintpaul. RNAcentral's name for it is "partial 23S ribosomal RNA". It matches the Rfam family "Bacterial large subunit ribosomal RNA", at positions 1 to 1378 of the family's 2925-position model. The record is from RNAcentral. Lineage: Bacteria; Pseudomonadati; Pseudomonadota; Gammaproteobacteria; Enterobacterales; Enterobacteriaceae.